This 299-nucleotide ribosomal RNA is filed under the name uncultured bacterium. Its description in RNAcentral is "partial 16S ribosomal RNA". It matches the Rfam family "Bacterial small subunit ribosomal RNA", at positions 335 to 651 of the family's 1533-position model. The record is from RNAcentral.
AUCCUACGGGAGGCAGCAGUGGGGAAUAUUGCACAAUGGGGGAAACCCUGAUGCAGCGACGCCGCGUGAGUGAAGAAGUAUUUCGGUAUGUAAAGCUCUAUCAGCAGGAACGAGACAAGACGGUACCUGACGAAUAAGCCACGGCUAACUACGUGCCAGCAGCCGCGGUGAUACGUAGGUGGCAAGCGUUGUCCGGAUUUACUGGGCGUAAAGGGCGUGUAGCCGGGUUGACAAGUCAGAUGUGAAAUCCUGCGGCUUAACCGCAGAACUGCAUUUGAGACUGUUGAUCUUGAGUACUG